This 406-nucleotide ribosomal RNA is filed under the name uncultured bacterium. RNAcentral's name for it is "partial 16S ribosomal RNA". It matches the Rfam family "Bacterial small subunit ribosomal RNA", at positions 29 to 526 of the family's 1533-position model. The record is from RNAcentral.
AUUGAACGCUGGCGGCAGGCCUAACACAUGCAAGUCGAACGAGUGGCGGACGGGUGAGUAAUGUCUGGGAAACUGCCUGAUGGAGGGGGAUAACUACUGGAAACGGUAGCUAAUCCCGCAUACCAUCGGAUGUGCCCAGAUGGGAUUAGCUAGUAGGGGGGGUAAAGGCUCACCUCGGCGACGAUCCCUAGCUGGUCUGAGAGGAUGACCAGCCACACUGGAACUGAGACACGGGCCAGACGCCUACGGGAGGCAGCAGUGGGGAAUAUUGCACAAGGGGCGGAAGCCUGACGGAGCUAUGCCGCGUGUAUGAAGAAGGCCUUCGGGUUGUAAAGUACUUUCAGCGGGGAGGCGUUACCCGCAGAAGAAGCACCGGCUAACUCCGUGCCAGCAGCCGCGGUAAUUC